CGCGGGGUGGAGCAGUGGUAGCUCGUCGGGCUCAUAAUCCGAAGGUCGCAGGUUCAAAUCCUGUCCCCGCAA
RNAcentral lists this transfer RNA (72 nucleotides) under Psychrobacillus insolitus. RNAcentral describes it as "Bacillus insolitus tRNA". It matches the Rfam family "tRNA". From Rfam's summary of the family: Transfer RNA (tRNA) molecules are approximately 80 nucleotides in length. Their secondary structure includes four short double-helical elements and three loops (D, anti-codon, and T loops). Further hydrogen bonds mediate the characteristic L-shaped molecular structure. tRNAs have two regions of fundamental functional importance: the anti-codon, which is responsible for specific mRNA codon recognition, and the 3' end, to which the tRNAs corresponding amino acid is attached (by aminoacyl-tRNA synthetases). tRNAs cope with the degeneracy of the genetic code in two manners: having more than one tRNA (with a specific anti-codon) for a particular amino acid; and 'wobble' base-pairing, i.e. permitting non-standard base-pairing at the 3rd anti-codon position. The record is from Rfam by way of RNAcentral. Lineage: Bacteria; Bacillati; Bacillota; Bacilli; Caryophanales; Bacillaceae. RNAcentral also lists the same sequence under 1 other name.